This 497-nucleotide ribosomal RNA is filed under the name uncultured bacterium. Its description in RNAcentral is "partial 16S ribosomal RNA". It matches the Rfam family "Bacterial small subunit ribosomal RNA", at positions 28 to 507 of the family's 1533-position model. The record is from RNAcentral.
GAUGAACGCUGGCGGCGUGCCUAAUACAUGCAAGUCGAGCGAACAGAUGAGGAGCUUGCUCCUCUGACGUUAGCGGCGGACGGGUGAGUAACACGUGGAUAACCUACCUAUAAGACUGGGAUAACCUCGGGAAACCGGAGCUAAUACCGGAUAAUAUAUUGAACCGCAUGGUUCAAUAGUGAAAGACGGUUUUGCUGUCACUUAUAGAUGGAUCCGCGCCGCAUUAGCUAGUUGGUAAGGUAACGGCUUAUCAAGGCGACGAUGCGUAGCCGAACUGAGAGGGUGAUCGGCCACACUGGAACUGAAACGCGGUCCAUACUACUGCGGGAGGCAGCAGUAGGGAAUCGUCCGCAAUGGGCGAAAGCCUGACGGAGCAACGCCGCGUGAGUGAUGGAAGUCUUCGGAUCGUAAAACUCUGUUAUGAGGGAAGAACAAAUGUGUAAGUAACUAAGCACGUCUUGACGGUACCUGAUCAGAAAGCCACGGCUAACUACGUG